GCUAAUACCGGAUAAGAAAGCAGAUCGCAUGAUCAGCUUUUUAAAAAGGCGGCGUAAGCUGUCGCUAUGGGGAUGGCCCGCGGUGCAUUAGCUAGUUGGUAAGGUAAAGGCUUACCAAGGCGAUGAUGCAUAGCCCGAGUUGAGAGACUGAUCGGGCCACAUUGGGGGACUGAGACACGGGGCCCAAACUCCUACGGGGGGGAGGGGCAGCAGUAGGGGGAAUCUUCCACAAUGGACGCAAGUCUGAUGGAGCAACGCCGCGUGAGUGAAGAAGGUUUUCGGAUCGUAAAGCUCUGUUGUUGGUGAAGAAGGAUAGAGGUAGUAACUGGCCUUUUAUUUGACGGUAAUCAACCAGAAAGUCACGGCUAACUACGUGCCAGCAGCCGCGGUAAU
This 393-nucleotide ribosomal RNA is filed under the name uncultured Lactobacillus sp. RNAcentral describes it as "bacterial SSU rRNA". It matches the Rfam family "Bacterial small subunit ribosomal RNA", at positions 162 to 524 of the family's 1533-position model. Lineage: Bacteria; Bacillati; Bacillota; Bacilli; Lactobacillales; Lactobacillaceae. The record is from RNAcentral.